AAGUGUUUAAUUUUUUCUGUGAUUGUUUGCAGGUGAGCACACAGGACCAAUUUGGUGUAUGAAAUUUAGUGGUUGCGGUCGAUUAUUGGCAACCGCUGGACAAGAUCAUGUCUUAAGAGUGUGGGUCCUUAAACAGGCUUUUAAUUAUUUUCUAGAUAUACGUACAAAAUGUAAUGCUGACAUUAAGGUAUCGCCAACACCGUCCCAGGAAUCUUUAGUUUCUCAACAUUCAGGGCAGUCAGGGGAAGAUUUAGGAUCCUUAGACCCCAACGAUGAUGGCAGUGCCCCUUUUAUGCCGAAACCUUUUUGUGUCUAUACUGGACAUACAGCUGACAUGCUUGACAUAUCAUGGUCUAAGAAUUAUUUCCUUCUGACAUCCUCAAUGGACAAAACAGUGAGACUUUGGCAUAUCAGCCGCAAGGAGUGUCUCUGUAUUUUUCAACAUAUGGAUUUUGUUACUGCAAUUGCUUUUCAUCCCAAGG
Long non-coding RNA from Macrobrachium nipponense, 482 nucleotides. RefSeq lists it as uncharacterized. NCBI's taxonomy places the organism in Eukaryota, Metazoa, Arthropoda, Malacostraca, Decapoda, Palaemonidae. The record is from RefSeq and is a predicted model, not a curated record. The transcript is spliced from 3 exons.